GAAGCCCGCCUGACAAUGGAAGAAGGCAGCCCCAACAGAACAUUGAGAUACAAUGGGUCAUCACCAUCAGGAGGUGGGAGAACCAGUGGAGAAGAAUAAAUCAGGGAGAGAAUGGGGAGUCUGGGGACCACGGAGUCGGCGGGGAGGCCUCACUGAAUCGGUGACAUUUGAGCUGAAAGCCGAGCGGUGCGAGUGUGAGCUAGGCAGAUGUGCAGGGAAAAGAAACCUGAGGCAUAAGGAACAGCAUCAGCAAUGAUCAGUGCUUCUCAAACUGCUGUGCCCACGGGCCGCUGGGAGUCUUCUUCAAAUGCGGAUGCUGACCUGGCAGGUCUGGGGCGGGCCUGGCACUGGGCACUCCUGACAAGCCCCCAGGUGCAGGAGCGGCUGGUCGGCGGACCACACUCUCCGGAGCAACGGUGUGGAGCUCGACAACAGUGAACAGGUAGUGGCCGAGCUGUGUGCUGAGCAACCGCGCCGCGCCAGGUACCGGUGGGCACCUCGGCAACCACUCUCACGUCCAGUCCUCACAGCAACCCUGCAAGGCAAAGGCCCAUCAUGUUUCCUGCAGUGACAAAUAUCUUCCUCCGGAGAGCUGGGGAGGAUCUGCGUGCUGCUGUACCCCCACCCAGAGGGGCUGCCUGCUACCUGCCCGCCCCUCUCUCCCUCCUGCCUGAUCCCAGUCAAAUCUUCAGAGCACAGGGCGGCAAGGACAUCCUGAUUUGGGAAGGGCUGGCUAACCCAGAUCUAGUACACAACCUCCCGUCUGUGAGGCCACAAAUGACUCCCCGCCCUGGGGUGGUGGGAGGUCCUGGGGGCCCACGGCCUCCAGCCCUGCCCAGCCUCCUCCACGUAGCUCACUUAAUUUGUUUAGUUUUCUGCAUGGAAAGUGACAUGAAACGCUGGGCGGCUCUGAUCCAGGCCACGCAGCGGGGCACCACGUUACGGGGAGACGGCAAAAGUGUGGGCUUUGGCAUCACGGCUCCGGAUUCAAAUCUUGGCACUGCUGCUUCCUUGCUGGGUGAUGCCGGGCAAGCGAGUGUCCGUCUCUGAGCCUCAGCGCCCCCUCCCUCAGGUCUGAACAAGAAAGGGCACCAGGCCUCCAGGAAGUGGCCUCGUUCCUUUGCUGGUAGAAUGGUGACAAUUGCUAUGCUUUCCUCAGGCAGAGCGCUUGGCCCAGGGCGAAUGCUCCGUAAGGGAGGUGUCACGGGUACCAGAGGCCCAGCCCGUGAGCAGCCAGGGGUGCCGUAAGGAUGAACCUUCUCUGGGGAAAGCUGACCAGCACCAGCUCUGGGGUGGGGUCAUCUCCCAGCCUGUUUGGGGAGGGGGGGCUCUGCUCCCAUUUCCAGCCAGCUUCCAGGACAGGUAGAUCUGAGCUGUCCCGUCCAAACAUCCUCUUCCUUGUCUGGAGACUAGCGGAGCUAAAAAUGCAUUGCUCAGCCCCAGGAAAACAAACACUGAGCUUCCCUUGCCUUUGUCUACAGGACACGAGGCCCAAAGCUGCAGAGGCAGCGCGGUGGGCUCCCCCAGGCUGCCCUCAGCCUGGGGGGUCUGUCUGCCUGUCUGUCUGCCUUCCUGGGGUCUCUCCUGCCUCCCCGGUCCUCACAGCCACAGUGGCCAGAGCCUCACCGCGUGUGGGCGUCUCCAACAGAAGUGGUGGGGGGCUCUACGUGAGGACCGCCCCCCUUCCAGGUGAUGUGCCCGUAGCCUGCCCAGCCUUGGGCUCCUCCCCUAGCCCACAGGUGGGGCUGUGCGCAUGCGCAUGUGCCUAUGGCUGGAGCGGUAACAACGAUCAGCCCAGCAACCAACGCGUGUGGAGCGCUCCCGCCACGCUUUCAACACCGAGGAUGUGUUAACCUCGUGAGGUGAUCACUAUUGUUAUCCACAUUUUAUAGAUGAGAAAACUGAGGCUCAGAAAGGUGAAGUUCAAGGUCACGGGCUAGUCAAUGGCAGAGCAGGCUUUGAACCCGGGCAGUCUUUGCUGGAAAGCCUCGUCCCCGGUAGCCUGCAAGCCUCCGGUUCCUCACCCACGAAAGGAGCAGCAACGCUGCAGUCGCUCCCUUCCUGGGUGAGGGUGAAGCAGGCCCAGGCCUUGCAGCCCGGGAGGCGGGGGCAGGGCAGCGAGGGGCUCUGGGUGCGCUGACUGCAGCUACAUGGUGAGGGGGUAUGUGCGUCCUUUGCCAUCAUACAGCCUGGGGCUGGGACCUCAGGCCAUUUGUGGCUUGGCCUUGGACUGUCCCCAAUUUGGAGCCGAACAUCCCCUGGCCAUCAAGCUGGGAAAAGCACACUUGCCUGGCACUGCUAGGGCUCUCAGGAGAGCGGGGAUACCCACUCUGGACUUGAGGGUCCAAGUCUGCCCUGGGGAUGGAAACCAGCUCCUUUCUUGGCCCUGAGCCCCACUCUCAGGGUAUGAGAAGUUUUUGAUGGAGGAGAGCUUAGACUGCUCUAGACACACAGUCUAAAAAGCCCUGGCCUUGGGCGGGCCCCUCAGCAAUUAGCUGAGGGCCGUGGCCACUUGGUUUUCUGCUGAGCUCACAGCUAUCAAGGGGGUUGGGGGGGGGUAAGAGUUAUGGGGUGUGGCCCCCAGCCCACAUAACCAGCUCCCAGACUGAUUCCCAGACCUAUUGGAAAGCCUGAUUCCUCGGGGCCCCAAUGCCAAAGAUGGGCCGGGGUCUUUCCAGGUCUGUGAGGUGCCCCUGUGCAUUCGGAUUUAGAGGCUCACGUUACAAGCCCCCUCCCUGACCCCUUCUACCCCUCAGGCAGGGCAUGGCAGCUUUGCCCCAAAAGGGCCAGGACUCAAAGGAAGAAAUAGGCCAGAUAUUUACUCAUUUAUUAAUUCCUUUAGCAGACUUUUAUGGAGCAACUGCUGUAUCGUGGGAGCUGGAAUGAGGCCCUUGCUCACCCGGAUCUCAUUCUAGUGCUAGACUGAUAAAUGGGCAAUGACAAUACCAUGGGGCACAUGCUGUGGGAACCCAGAGCAAGUACCAAGCCCAGGGGGCUUAGCUGGAGGAGGUGCUAAGCCAAGUCACAGGAGGAAGAGGAGGAGGUGUUCUUUAGAGAAUUGCUCCUGUGGAAAGACCCCCACAUUGGCAUGUGUCUGCAAGGAGAGGGUACAGGAAAGGGGUUCUCCUCAGCAUGGCAUUCAGGCCGGGUGCCCUGUGGUUCCAGCUGCCUCUGCCGUCCCUGUCCUGCCCCUUCGAACCAGUGCACAAAGACAUCUGGACUGUAUUGAUCUGUGUCUAUCUCACUCAAGAGCCUGGUAGGUGCCAGAAUCCCGGCUCUGGGUCUCCCGUAUUACAUUUCUUCAUAGGGCCUGCAGACAAGUGGGUGCUCAAUGAUGCUGCUCCCAAUAGCCUCCUCUCUUUGUAUCCCUCCCCUGAGGCUGAGCCGUGUGCUCCCUCCUUUGUGCUCCUACAGUACUUUGUAAGUCAGAACUCAUGUCUGUACAGCACUUUCAGUUGGCAAAGCACCUGUACACAUAUUCAUGUGUUUGAUGCUCACAAAAGUGUAAAAUGUGUCCUAAUUAUCAUCAUCAAUCAUCCCCUGCCAAGAGGCAGCAUAGCAUGGUGGUUUAAGCAUGGGGGCUCCACAGCUGGAAUGCUUGGGUUGGAGUCUAGUCUCUACCACUUACUGGCUGUGUGACCUUGAACAAGUUGCUUAACUUCUCUGUGCUUCAAUGUCCCCACUUGUAAGAUAGGAGCAACAUACCUCACAGGAGCAUGGAGAGGCUACAUGUCGAGUAAGAACAUGACCUAUUACACGGUCCCCUCGAUAAUAAUGGUGGCUGUUCCCAUCUCUUUUAUGGACAAGAUCCAGAAGGUCAAGGUCAACAUCACCUAGCGUCCUGUGGUUUUAUCUCUAAGUCUUUAGACUUCAAAUCUUGUGUUUUGGGAUUAUCUUCCCAUCCCCCCACCCCCAAUCUCCCUCGUCACCCUGUCUCCUAAUUUAUCUGUUUAUGCAUCUGUCUGUCCUUCUGGAUAGGGGCUCCUCCAGGGUAGGAGUGUGUACCAGUCUUGGGCUGUCUCCCCAGCACCUGGAAUAGUGCCUGGCCACCGGGGAACACUCAAAUUCCGUGUUGAAGGGAUGAUGCACCCCGUGUGCCAGGCAUCAUGCUCAGUCUUUCCAGAUGGACUAUCUCAUCUGAGCCUCCAGACCACUUUAGGAGGUAGUGAAGAAUUCUACAACUGCACUGAGGUACAAUAAAACGCAUAGAUCCAUUUUGAUAGAGGUAUAUACCCGUGAACUCAUCAUUCCCAGCAAGGCUGACAAACAUCCCCAUCACCCCUAAAAUUUUCUCAGGCCUCCUUGAAAUCCUUCUCUCCCUCCAAUUCUAGAUUUAUUUCUAGUUUAUAGGGGAGGAAACCGAGGUACGGAGGGGUUAAGCUUCCCAGAGACACCCGACCAGCUCAAGUGGCCACACCAGGAUUUGAACCAAGGGGACCUGCCCCCGGCCUGCCUCCCGGCCACGGUGCCACGCUGCCUAGGCGGUCCUGGGUAGAGGGUGGGUACUUGUGGCUGUUUGUAAAGAGGCCCGCCUGGCCAAGUCCUCCCUCCCUCCUCCGCGCCCCCGCAGCCCCCUCCCCCCCUCCCCCGGCCCCGCUCAGGUCCAAGAAGAUGGCUCAUGAAGAGACAGCGGGUGUGCCUGUCUCUGCGACGGAGGCGUGAGGAGCGGGCUGGCACCCCAAAGGGAUGUCUGGGUGCCAAGGGCAGCCGACGGAGACCGUGCAAGGGGACCAGAUAAAGGUGUCCUACAGCCAGGAGCCAGGCGAUGCAGUGAGCCUGCGGGUCCCCUGGUGGGUGCUGGGCGCGUCGGGGGUGCGUGUGACUCUGUGACUGACCGCGUGUGUGGCUGCUGAAGGCAGGGCCA
Long non-coding RNA from Mirounga angustirostris (Northern elephant seal), 4864 nucleotides. RefSeq lists it as uncharacterized. NCBI's taxonomy places the organism in Eukaryota, Metazoa, Chordata, Mammalia, Carnivora, Phocidae. The record is from RefSeq and is a predicted model, not a curated record. The transcript has 3 exons.